This 474-nucleotide ribosomal RNA is filed under the name uncultured bacterium. Its description in RNAcentral is "bacterial SSU rRNA". It matches the Rfam family "Bacterial small subunit ribosomal RNA", at positions 27 to 507 of the family's 1533-position model. The record is from RNAcentral.
GGAUGAACGCUAGCGGCAGGCUUAACACAUGCAAGUCGAGGGGCAGCAUAAACAUUGCUUGCAAUGUUUGAUGGCGACCGGCGGACGGGUGAGUAACGCGUGAGCAACUUGCCCUUAUCAGGGGGAUAACCAAUGGAAACGUUGACUAAUACCCCAUAGUAUAGCUUUGAGGCAUCUCUUAGUUAUUAAAGAAUUUCGGAUAAGGAUAGGCUCGCGUGACAUUAGCUAGUUGGUGGGGUAACGGCCCACCAAGGCGACGAUCAGUAGCCGGUCUGAGAGGAUGAACGGCCACAUUGGGACUGAGAUACGGCCCAGACUCCUACGGGAGGCAGCAGGUGGGGAAUAUUGGGCAAUGGGGGAAACCCUGACCCAGCAACGCCGCGUGAAGGAAGAAGGCUUUCGGGUUGUAAACUUCUUUUACCAGGGACGAAGAACGUGACGGUACCUGGAGAAAAAGCAACGGCUAACUACGUG